This 406-nucleotide ribosomal RNA is filed under the name uncultured bacterium. Its description in RNAcentral is "bacterial SSU rRNA". It matches the Rfam family "Bacterial small subunit ribosomal RNA", at positions 359 to 773 of the family's 1533-position model. The record is from RNAcentral.
GAAUAUUGCACAAUGGGCGCAAGCCUGAUGCAGCGACGCCGCGUGAGGGAUGACGGCCUUCGGGUUGUAAACCUCUUUCAGUAGGGAAGAAGCUCUUCGGGGUGACGGUACCUGCAGAAGAAGCGCCGGCUAACUACGUGCCAGCAGCCGCGGUAAUACGUAGGGCGCAAGCGUUGUCCGGAAUUAUUGGGCGUAAAGAGCUCGUAGGCGGUUUGUCGCGUCUGCUGUGAAAACGCGAGGCUUAACCUCGCGCCUGCAGUGGGUACGGGCAGACUAGAGUGCGGUAGGGGAGACUGGAAUUCCUGGUGUAGCGGUGGAAUGCGCAGAUAUCAGGAGGAACACCGGUGGCGAAGGCGGGUCUCUGGGCCGUUACUGACGCUGAGGAGCGAAAGCAUGGGGAGCGAAC